This 775-nucleotide ribosomal RNA is filed under the name uncultured Neocallimastigales. RNAcentral describes it as "partial large subunit ribosomal RNA". It matches the Rfam family "Eukaryotic large subunit ribosomal RNA", at positions 23 to 616 of the family's 3401-position model. The record is from RNAcentral. Lineage: Eukaryota; Fungi; Neocallimastigomycota; Neocallimastigomycetes; Neocallimastigales.
ACACGCAUGACACACUGCAUAUCAAUAAGCGGAGGAAAAGAAACUAACUAGGAUUCCCUUAGUAACGGCGAGUGAAGCGGGAAGAGCUCAAAUUUGAAAUCUUCAAGGUUCUGACCUUGACGAAUUGUAGUUUAAAGAAGUGUUUUCUGUUGGAGUUUUGGUAAAAGUUCUUUGGAAUAGGACAUCAUAGAGGGUGAGAAUCCCGUAUUUGACCAUUUCUUCCAGCUGUGUGAUACACUUUCAAGGAGUCGGAUUGUUUGGGAAUGCAGUCCAAAAUGGGUGGUAAAUUUCAUCUAAAGCUAAAUAUUGGCGAGAGACCGAUAGCGAACAAGUACCGUGAGGGAAAGAUGAAAAGAACUUUGAAAAGAGAGUUAAACAGUACGUGAAAUUGUCAAAAGGGAAGCGUUUGACACCAGUGUUGUUUUCUCGAAAAUCAAUUAAAAAGAGCCGGAUUUUGUGUUGUUAAGACUUUAUCAGCUUACUGCACUUUUUUCUUGUUCUUUUUAAUGCACUUUUCGUUUAACAAGUCAACAUCAAUUUCUUUUGUUGUAAAAGGGUCAUUGGAAGGUGGCUUUCAUUUCGGUGAAAGUGUUUAUAGCCUUUGACCUCUGCAAUCGGAGAGAUUGAGGUCUGCAGCGUAGAUCCUUCGGGGUUAGAUACAUUUGUGCUAAGUUAUAGUUUUUCAUAGACAACUUGUUGACUAUGAUUAAUCAUGUAGCUUACUCGCUUACGCUAUUUUACCUACGCUUAGGAUGUUGAGCGCAUGUCUCUCUCU